This is a long non-coding RNA of Oncorhynchus keta (chum salmon), 2714 nucleotides long. RefSeq lists it as uncharacterized. NCBI's taxonomy places the organism in Eukaryota, Metazoa, Chordata, Actinopteri, Salmoniformes, Salmonidae. The transcript is spliced from 7 exons. The record is from RefSeq and is a predicted model, not a curated record.
GUACAACAAUACCUUCAAAUGACCUUGAUUAAGGUGGUAUCAGAUGAUAUUGUUAGCAGAUCAUCCAUUGAGAAAAAUACAGCACAACCAAUGAUCUAGGUUAGUGUUUCUGGGUCCUGGGGAUAUAACCAAUGAUCUAGGUUAGUGUUUCUUGGCCCUGGGGAUAUAACUAAUGAUCUAGGUUAGUGUUUCUGGGCCCUGGGGAUAUAACCAAUGAUCUAGGUUAGUGUUUCUGGGUCCUGGGGAUAUAACCAAUGAUCUAGGUUAGUGUUUCUGGGUCCUGGGGAUAUAACCAAUGAUCUAGGUUAGUGUUCCUGGGUCCUGGGGAUAUAACUAAUGAUCUAGGUUAGUGUUUCUGGGUCCUGGGGAUAUAACCAAUGAUCUAGGUUAGUGUUCCUGGGUCCUGGGGAUAUAACCAAUGAUCUAGGUUAGUGUUUCUGGGCCCUGGGGAUACAACCAAUGAUCUAGGUUAGUGUUUCUUGGCCCUGGGGAUAUAACCAAUGAUCUAGGUUAGUGUUUCUGGGUCCUGGGGAUACAACCAAUGAUCUAGGUUAGUGUUUCCUGGUCCUGAGGAUAUAACCAAUGAUCUAGGUUAGUGUUUCUGGGUCCUGGGGAUAUAACCAAUGAUCUAGGUUAGUGUUCCUGGGUCCUGGGGAUAUAACCAAUGAUCUAGGUGAGUGUUUCUGGGUCCUGGGGAUAUAACCAAUGAUCUAGGUUAGUGUUUCCUGGUCCUGAGGAUAUAACCAAUGAUCUAGGUUAGUGUUUCUGGGUCCUGGGGAUAUAACCAAUGAUCUAGGUUAGUGUUUCUGGGUCCUGGGGAUAUAACCAAUGAUCUAGGUUAGUGUUUCUUGGCCCUGGGGAUAUAACUAAUGAUCUAGGUUAGUGUUUCUGGGUCCUGGGGAUAUAACCAAUGAUCUAGGUUAGUGUUUCUGGGUCCUGGGGAUAUAACCAAUGAUCUAGGUUAGUGUUUCUGGGUCCUGGGGAUAUAACCAAUGAUCUAGGUUAGUGUUUCUUGGCCCUGGGGAUAUAACUAAUGAUCUAGGUUAGUGUUUCUUGGCCCUGGGGAUAUAACUAAUGAUCUAGGUUAGUGUUUCUGGGUCCUGGGGAUAUAACCAAUGAUCUAGGUUAGUGUUUCUGGGUCCUGGGGAUAUAACCAAUGAUCUAGGUUAGUGUUUCUUGGCCCUGGGGAUAUAACUAAUGAUCUAGGUUAGUGUUUCUGGGUCCUGGGGAUAUAACCAAUGAUCUAGGUUAGUGUUUCCUGGUCCUGAGGAUAUAACCAAUGAUCUAGGUUAGUGUUUCUUGGCCCUGGGGAUAUAACUAAUGAUCUAGGUUAGUGUUUCUGGGUCCUGAGGAUAUAACCAAUGAUCUAGGUUAGUGUUCCUGGGUCCUGGGGAUAUAACUAAUGAUCUAGGUUAGUGUUUCUGGGUCCUGGGGAUAUAACCAAUGAUCUAGGUUAGUGUUUCUUGGCCCUGGGGAUAUAACCAAUGAUCUAGGUUAGUGUUUCUUGGCCCUGUGGAUAUAACUAAUGAUCUAGGUUAGUGUUUCUGGGUCCUGGGGAUAUAACCAAUGAUCUAGGUUAGUGUUUCCUGGUCCUGAUGAUAUAACCAAUGAUCUAGGUUAGUGUUUCCUGGUCCUGAGGAUAUAACCAAUGAUCUAGGUUAGUGUUUCUUGGCCCUGGGGAUAUAACUAAUGAUCUAGGUUAGUGUUUCUGGGUCCUGAGGAUAUAACCAAUGAUCUAGGUUAGUGUUCCUGGGUCCUGGGGAUAUAACUAAUGAUCUAGGUUAGUGUUUCUGGGUCCUGGGGAUAUAACCAAUGAUCUAGGUUAGUGUUUCUUGGCCCUGGGGAUAUAACCAAUGAUCUAGGUUAGUGUUUCUUGGCCCUGUGGAUAUAACUAAUGAUCUAGGUUAGUGUUUCUGGGUCCUGGGGAUAUAACCAAUGAUCUAGGUUAGUGUUUCUGGGUCCUGGGGAUAUAACUAAUGAUCUAGGUUAGUGUUUCUUGGCCCUGGGGAUAUAACUAAUGAUCUAGGUUAGUGUUUCUGGGUCCUGGGGAUAUAACCAAUGAUCUAGGUUAGUGUUUCCUGGUCCUGAGGAUAUAACCAAUGAUCUAGGUUAGUGUUUCCUGGUCCUGAGGAUAUAACCAAUGAUCUAGGUUAGUGUUUCUUGGCCCUGGGGAUAUAACUAAUGAUCUAGGUUAGUGUUUCUGGGUCCUGAGGAUAUAACCAAUGAUCUAGGUUAGUGUUCCUGGGUCCUGGGGAUAUAACUAAUGAUCUAGGUUAGUGUUUCUGGGUCCUGGGGAUAUAACCAAUGAUCUAGGUUAGUGUUUCUUGGCCCUGGGGAUAUAACCAAUGAUCUAGGUUAGUGUUUCUGGGUCCUGGGGAUAUAACCAAUGAUCUAGGUUAGUGUUUCUGGGUCCUGGGGAUAUAACCAAUGAUCUAGGUUAGUGUUUCCUGGCCCUGGGGAUAUAACUAAUGAUCUAGGUUAGUGUUUCUGGGUCCUGGGGAUAUAACCAAUGAUCUAGGUUAGUGUUUCUGGGUCCUGGGGAUAUAACUAAUGAUCUAGGUUAGUGUUUCUGGGUCCUGGGGAUAUAACUAAUGAUCUAGGUUAGUGUUUCCUGGUCCUGAGGAUAUAACCAAUGAUCUAGGUUAGUGUUUCUGGGUCCUGGGGAUAUGAAAUAUGACCCUUUGGGUCCAUAACCCUAACCCUAACCCUAACCC